This 494-nucleotide ribosomal RNA is filed under the name uncultured bacterium. RNAcentral's name for it is "partial 16S ribosomal RNA". It matches the Rfam family "Bacterial small subunit ribosomal RNA", at positions 28 to 507 of the family's 1533-position model. The record is from RNAcentral.
GACGAACGCUAGCGGCGUGCUUAACACAUGCAAGUCGAACGGUGAAGCGCGUUUCUCUUCGUUUGGAGUGGAUGCGUGGCUAAGUGAUGCGUAACACGUGAGUAACCUGCACCCUUCUACUGGAUAACAGCAUGAAUGAGUGGCUAAUACGGGCUAUUCUGAGUCUUUCGCAUGAUGGGUCUGGUUAUGGUAUUGAUUCGGUCGUGGGUGGGGUGGCGGCGUUUCAGGUUGUAGGUGGGGCGAUGGCCUACCAAGGCGGGGACGGGUAGCCGGCCUGAGAGGGAGGACGGCCCCACUGGGACUGAGACACGGCCCAGACUCCUACGGGCGGCAGCAGGGGGGAAGAGAUCACAGUGGGUGCAGGCAUGAUGCAGCGACGCCGCGGGAGGGAUGGAGGCCUUCGGGUUGUGAACCUCUUUCGUUAGUGAAGCAGGCCAGCCUUGUUUGUGGGUGGGUUGACGGUAGCUGGAUAAGAAGCGCCGGCGAACUACGUG